This 74-nucleotide transfer RNA is filed under the name Pantoea sp. Aalb. It matches the Rfam family "tRNA". From Rfam's summary of the family: Transfer RNA (tRNA) molecules are approximately 80 nucleotides in length. Their secondary structure includes four short double-helical elements and three loops (D, anti-codon, and T loops). The record is from Rfam by way of RNAcentral. Lineage: Bacteria; Pseudomonadati; Pseudomonadota; Gammaproteobacteria; Enterobacterales; Erwiniaceae.
GCGUUCUUAGCUCAGUUGGCUAGAGCACCACCUUGACAUGGUGGAGGUCAAUGGUUCAAUUCCAUUAGAACGCA